This 253-nucleotide ribosomal RNA is filed under the name uncultured bacterium. RNAcentral's name for it is "partial 16S ribosomal RNA". It matches the Rfam family "Bacterial small subunit ribosomal RNA", at positions 524 to 776 of the family's 1533-position model. The record is from RNAcentral.
UACGGAGGGUGCAAGCGUUAUCCGGAUUUACUGGGUUUAAAGGGUGCGCAGGCGGUUCUGUAAGUCAGUGGUGAAAUCUCUAGGCUUAACCUGGAAAUUGCCGUUGAUACUAUAUAUCUUGAAUGCUGUGGAGGUAAGCGGAAUAUGUCAUGUAGCGGUGAAAUGCUUAGAUAUGACAUAGAACACCUAUUGCGAAGGCAGCUUACUACGCAGAUAUUGACGCUCAUGCACGAAAGCGUGGGGAUCAAACAGG